GGGGGGGGGGGGGGGGGGGCGGGGGGCGGGGGGGGCGGGCGGGAGGGGCGGGUGGGGGGGGGGGGCGGGGGGCGGGCGGGGGGGUGACACGUGGGUAAGCUGCCCUUGACUUUGGGAUAACUUCAGGGAACUGGGGCUGAUACCGGAUAGGGGCUCCUGCUGCAUGGUGGGGGUUGGAAAGUUUCGGCGGUUGGGGAUGGACUCGCGGCUUAUCAGCUUGUUGGUGGGGUAGUGGCUUACCAAGGCUUUGACGGGUAGCCGGCCUGAGAGGGUGAGCGGCCACAUUGGGACCGAGAUAUGGCCCCGACUCCUACGGGAGGCAGCAGUGGGGAAUAUUGCACAAUGGGUGGAAGCCUGAUGCAGCAACGCCGUGUGCGGGAUGACGGCCUUCGGGUUGUAAACCGCUUUCGCUCAUGACGAAGCUUUGUGUGACGGUAGUGGGUAAAGAAGCGCCGGCUAACUACGUG
Molecule: ribosomal RNA, 467 nt
Filed under: uncultured bacterium
Lineage: Bacteria
Description: partial 16S ribosomal RNA
Rfam family: Bacterial small subunit ribosomal RNA
Source: RNAcentral